This 253-nucleotide ribosomal RNA is filed under the name uncultured bacterium. RNAcentral describes it as "partial 16S ribosomal RNA". It matches the Rfam family "Bacterial small subunit ribosomal RNA", at positions 524 to 776 of the family's 1533-position model. The record is from RNAcentral.
UACGGAGGGUGCGAGCGUUGUCCGGAAUCACUGGGCGUAAAGGGCGCGUAGGUGGCGCCGCAAGUCAACGGUGAAAGCUCGACGCUCAACGUCGAGUCGGCCGUCGAUACUGCGGGGCUGGAGCACUGUAGAGGCAGAUGGAAUUCCGGGUGUAGCGGUGGAAUGCGUAGAGAUCCGGAAGAACACCGGUGGCGAAGGCGGUCUGCUGGGCAGUUGCUGACACUGAGGCGCGACAGCGUGGGGAGCAAACAGG